Molecule: ribosomal RNA, 332 nt
Filed under: uncultured bacterium
Lineage: Bacteria
Description: bacterial SSU rRNA
Rfam family: Bacterial small subunit ribosomal RNA
Source: RNAcentral
CGUGUGGGCGGUUAUGUAAGUCAGAUGUGAAAUCCUUCCGCUUAACGGGAGAAGUGCAUUUGAAACUGCAUGACUGGAGUACGGGAGAGGAGAGUGGAAUUCCCGGUGUAGAGGUGAAAUUCGUAGAUAUCGGGAGGAACACCAGUGGCGAAGGCGGCUCUCUGGCCUGAUACUGACGCUGAGACGCGAAAGCGUGGGGAGCAAACAGGAUUAGAUACCCUGGUAGUCCACGCCGUAAACGAUGGGCACUAGGUGUAGGAGGUAUUGACCCCUUCUGUGCCGAAGCUAACGCAUUAAGUGCCCCGCCUGGGGAGUACGGCCGCAAGGUUAAA